This 1016-nucleotide long non-coding RNA is filed under the name Homo sapiens (human). RNAcentral's name for it is "non-protein coding lnc-NEIL1-5:2". Lineage: Eukaryota; Metazoa; Chordata; Mammalia; Primates; Hominidae. The record is from RNAcentral.
GGGAGACGCAUCCGUGGUAGAGGCCCAUAUAGCUCCCUCGCCGCCGACUCGAGUUUCUUGAGGUCCUCGGACUGGGGGGAGGCCGCCUGGGACUCGGAGAUCCGCUGGGUGGACGCGGAGGACGAGCCAGCGGAGCUACCCGGCCCCAACUUCCUUCACACACACAACCCAUUUGGAACUAGGUAGGAGAGAAGGGUAGGAGCACCCUAGUCACUGGCUGGAGUGGGCAGACUCCUGUGGCUGUGUGACCUAACCGUGUUCGGUCCGCUCUGUUAGGCGACUAAAAAUGAGUGAUGCAAACAGGAAGCCCUGCGUCCGCGGGCAACAGGCACUUGCCUGAGCACCUACUGUGGGUGAGGCAGACAUUCAUACGUACCUGCUGCUGGGUGCAAUUACAGACUGGAUGACAUGCUUACUCUACCCCUCCAAGGGCUCCAGAUUCAGCCGAGGAGAUUCUACGUAAGGAACUAAGGCAAGGCAGGAAUGUGUAUGAAAAUAGGAAUGUGUAUGUAAAUAGGAGCUCAGAGAAGAGAGAUUCCUUUUCGCUGAAGGAGAAUUGGGAAAGGUUUCAUGAAGGAGGUGGCAUUCAAGUUGGGUCUUAAAGAUUUCAUCCAGCAAAUUGGAGGGGCAGGUCAUUUUCAUCAAAGGACACAAAGGGGUGAAUGCAAAAAAGGACCUUCAUAUGUGGCUGUAGUAAUAAAAAAGGAGGGGUGGGGAGAUGGAACAAACAGUUUAAGACUUUUAGUUGAGUAAAAUUCUUGGACGUGCGCAGCAGAAUGUGCAGGCAGCACGGUCACAAGGCCCACAGACCCAGAACUAUAGUGUAAGAUGUUUGGCACCCUGGCAGAAAGAUGGGUUCUGACGAUGCACUGAGAGAGAAGUGCCUAUAGGCAGCAAGGGGAGGCCCAGAGGCUGUUGUAAUACUGCGUUUGGAGACUGCAGAAGUGCCUCUUGUGGAAGGAAUAGCUGGGGAAAGAGAAGGCUUCUUUUCUCUAUCAAAGCCACCCAAUCCGAAA